UGGGGGGCCCGCUGUACAUGCAGUCGACGCUGAGCCUGGUGCUUGCACCGGGUGGAUGAGUGGCGAACGGGUGAGUAACACGUGAGUAACCUGCCCCUGACUUCGGGAUAAGCCCGGGAAACUGGGUCUAAUACCGGAUACGACUGCCGGACGCAUGUCUGGUGGUGGAAAGUUUUUUCGGUUGGGGAUGGGCUCGCGGCCUAUCAGUUUGUUGGUGAGGUAAUGGCUCACCAAGACGACGACGGGUAGCCGGCCUGAGAGGGCGACCGGCCACACUGGGACUGAGACACGGCCCAGACUCCUACGGGAGGCAGCAGUGGGGAAUAUUGCACAAUGGGGGAAACCCUGAUGCAGCGACGCACCGUUGACGGGAUUGAACCGGGUCCAGUCGGAUGGUUAAUCCGCUUUCCAGGCAGGGAAGAAGGCGCAAGUGACCGUACCUGCAGGAAAAAAGGUACCUGCCUAACUACGUGCCCAGCAGCCCGCGGCUAAUACGUAGGGUACGAGACGUUGUCCCGGGAAUUAUUUGGGCGUAAAGAGCUCGUAGGUGGUUGGUCACGUCUGCUGUGGAAACGCAACGCUUAACGUUGCGCGUGCAGUGGGUACGGGCUGACUAGAGUGCAGUAGGGGAGUCUGGAAUUCCUGGUGUAGCGGUGAAAUGCGCAGAUAUCAGGAGGAACACCGGUGGCGAAGGCGGGACUCUGGGCUGUAACUGACACUGAGGAGCGAAAGCAUGGGGAGCGAACAGGAUUAGAUACCCUGGUAGUCCAUGCCGUAAACGUUGGGCACUAGGUGUGGGGGGCAUUCCACGUUCUCCGCGCCGUAGCUAACGCAUUAAGUGCCCCGCCUGGGGAGUACGGUCGCAAGGCUAAAACUCAAAGGGAAUUGACGGGGGGCCCGUCACAAGCGGCGGGAGUCAUGCGGGAUUAAUUCGAUGCAACGCGAAGAACCCUUUACCAAGGGCUUUGACAUACACCGGACCGUUCCUGGAAACAGGUCCGUCUUCUUUGAAGCUGGGUGUACCAGGUUGGUUGCCAUGGAAUGUCGUCAGCUUCGUGUCGUUGAGAUGCUUUGGGUUUAAGUCCCGCAACGACGCGACCAAACUCCUCGUUCUAUGUUGCCAGCACGUGAUGGUGGGAACUCAUAGGAGACUGCCGGGGUCAACUCGGAGGAAGGUGGGGAUGACGUCAAAUCAUCAUGCCCUUUAUGUCUUGGGCUUCACGCAUGCUACAAUGGCUGGUACAGAGAGAGGCGAACCCGUGAGGGCAAGCGAAUCCCUUAAAGCCAGUCUCAGUUCGGAUCGUAGUCUGCAAUUCGACUACGUGAAGUCGGAGUCGCUAGUAAUCGCAGAUCAGCAACGCUGCGGUGAAUACGUUCCCGGGCCUUGUACACACCGCCCGUCAAGUCACGAAAGUCGGUAACACCCGAAGCCGGUGGCCUAACUCGUAAGGAGGAGCCGCCUAUUAUGAUUGUUCCCGU
This 1479-nucleotide ribosomal RNA is filed under the name Brevibacterium sp. RNAcentral describes it as "bacterial SSU rRNA". It matches the Rfam family "Bacterial small subunit ribosomal RNA". Lineage: Bacteria; Bacillati; Actinomycetota; Actinomycetes; Micrococcales; Brevibacteriaceae. The record is from RNAcentral.